CAUGCCUUCCUCCAGCCCUGCAUCAGCCGAUCGUGCUCCCCAGCGACAGCUCGCCAUGCAGCAAGCUCCUGGCUCCACUUUUCUUGCUGGAAUGCCUCUGCAAGACAAGCAGAGUCAAGGUCACAGCUUUGGAGACCUCUGGAGUGCUAUAGAUGUGUACUGUCCGACAGGACCACACCCUAGGCUGAAGUUCUGAUCUGUUCUAGUGAUCUGUCCCAAUGGAGAAUCCCCUCACUGGCCUGAGGGGGUCACAGUAGAGAUCUGGGGAGCCAGUGGGUUUUGCAUUUCAUUACUGGUUGCUUGGUUUUUCAGACAGCUUUGCUUUUUUGACCUAGUUGCCUUGAAUUCACCCGGUAUCCCAGGCUGGAUCUAAACUUGAAAUCCUCCUGCUUCGGCCUUUCUAGUUCUGCGAUUCCAAGUGUGUCCACCUCACAGUCGGUGUCUCCACUUACCCCCUCUUCCCAGCCACAGGUGCUCUCCAAGGCUCCAGUGGACCUGGCCUCUACAUCCCAUUGUCAUUUCCUGGGUGCCAGAGGCCCCACAUUGCAGAAGCUGCAGGAGACCCGGAAAGUGGGCAGUUGCGAGACAGCUGCUGUCCCAGGACAGCUUCACAGCAGAGCCAGGGGGCAAUCAGUGCUGCAUCGUCGGGAUAAGGGAGAGGUAGCAUGCUAUGGCUUAAAAGACUGCCCAAUCAGGGGCCACCCUCCCUCUGCCCUAGCACAUAAAAGGUCUCUGGGUUGGGUACAUAACAAGCAGAUUGAGGGGACAUUCAACACUGAAGGAGGAAGCCCUGCCCUUUCCCCGAUUAAGUCUCUAGAUCUCCAACCCAGCUAAGCCUUGCUGUGCCUGAUAUUUGUUCUAGGUCUGGGCUGCUGCUGGGUUUUAAUGCUGAGCCCCACUUCGGCUGAAACAGAAGACUCAUUCUGUAAGAGCGGAGAGGAGGAGAUUGUAUUGUGCUCAGUGGGAGGAGAGCCUGUUCCUCAGCCCCGUGCUCAGCAUCACCUGCAGGGGGCUUUUGAACUCCUCACCCUGCAGUUCUGACCCUGGCUUCCUAGUGAGCCCCAGGCCAUGCAGAUGCUACUUGGUCCACACACAUGCUUUGAAAAAGACAACAUGGAGAGAAGAAAGCCGGGGAGAAUGAAGUCUGUCCACAUUGUGGAAGGCAGAAGAUGGCCAGCUGUGAACCAGCAGAAUGCAACAAAGCCAAAGCCUUCAUUUCUAAAAGGCCCCUUGGGCUUUAGAAGGUGAAGCCGAGACAGCGUAUGAGGAAGUAGAAAGUCAAAAGAUGACAGGAAAGAACAAGGUAGCUCCCUAGAGGAGAGGUCCAGUUCUCACAUCUUGGAAAAAUUCUGAACAGUAGAUGGAAAAUAGUAAACAUGGUCAAGAAAAUGCCCCAGAACUGGGGGGCAAGGGCUCCCUAACUAAUGGGCCCUAGAAAAGUGUGAAAAGGUCAAGCCAUUUUAAAUUGUAACUGUUUGAGAAAACAAGCUUCCAGAGAUUAAAGAGGUCUCCGUUGACAGAUA
Molecule: long non-coding RNA, 1523 nt
Organism: Alexandromys fortis (reed vole)
Lineage: Eukaryota; Metazoa; Chordata; Mammalia; Rodentia; Cricetidae
Exons: 2
Source: RefSeq, a predicted model, not a curated record